This is a long non-coding RNA of Sphaeramia orbicularis (orbiculate cardinalfish), 163 nucleotides long. RefSeq lists it as uncharacterized. NCBI's taxonomy places the organism in Eukaryota, Metazoa, Chordata, Actinopteri, Kurtiformes, Apogonidae. The record is from RefSeq and is a predicted model, not a curated record. The transcript is spliced from 3 exons.
GCAUUUCAAUGAAAAAAACUGAUUGUAGUCCCACCCCCUGUUCUAACGAGGCUACUACUAAAUGAAACAUGUCUAAUUCCAUCCCAUAAUAAUCAAACCUCCAGAAGUAAACAUCCAGUCCAUCCAACAAAGGGUUGGUUCUGUUGGAGUUCUUCUGUAUUUU